This 2785-nucleotide ribosomal RNA is filed under the name Brassica rapa (field mustard). RNAcentral's name for it is "eukaryotic LSU rRNA". The stretch from base 1474 to 2772 matches the Rfam family "Eukaryotic large subunit ribosomal RNA", at positions 1889 to 3399 of the family's 3401-position model. The record is from RNAcentral. Lineage: Eukaryota; Viridiplantae; Streptophyta; Magnoliopsida; Brassicales; Brassicaceae.
GUACGUUCAAUCAAAAAAUAUUCAUUCACUACUCAUCAAUCAUCUAUCUAGACUCACCUUUGAUUCCAUGAGAUUGGCUAGGGAAGACUAGACUCGAGCUCAACUAAUAACACUCCAUUUCACUCCUGAUUCAGAAUGUGUGGAUACAAGAUCAGUCAGGCUGAUUCCAACAGAAACUCUACUCAGCUUAGUUCAAAGCAGUUCAGUUCGGUUAAAGGAUAAUUCAGUUCAGCUAAGCCUUUAAAAAAAUAUCUAAGGGACAUAACUGAACCAAGAUCAAUCCACAUACAGGUUUAAAAACUAAUAUGGACAGGAAGCUUAAAAAAUCAUUCCACUUGUUCCAAACAAAACUUCUCUGAACUAGUAGCUAUGGCUUACCAAUUUCCUAAAGCUUUAAGAUGAACUUGGUUGAUAUAAACUUCAAUCUGAACACACGUCUAACCUGAUCAGGACAAGAUACCCAUGAUAGGUUGAAGAUCAGAAACAGACCAAAUCGUUUUGGUUACCUAACAAGAACUGAAGCUCAAGCAAAACUGAUCUGAUCAAACCAAUAUGUUCUUACCGAUAAAAUCCAAGGCUAAAGAACUUGGGUGAUUCUAAACUCUUGAACACCAAACCUUCAUCUCUUAACCACACCAGACAACACUGAUUAAAGUGACAGGAUGGUGAGAAAGGGUCGUCCAAGCUCACUUAUCUUCCCUGAUUUUUUUCUGAAUUUUUCAACUAAUUUUUCUCACAGAUUUUUCUCUUUUCUUUCUCUCUUUCUCUCUGAAUUUUCUCUGGUUUUUCUUGCAGUAACAGGACGUCCAGAGGAGAGAAGAAGAUGCCUUAUACCAUAUGGGGUUGCUUCAGCUCAGGGUUUCUCUUUACACAAAGUGGUAGUUUGGAGAAACAUGUGGCAACCAGCUUCAGCACAAGCAGCUCACCUUUCCCUUACAAGAAGAAAGCUGCAAGCAGCUGAAGCAAACAGCUUGUGACCAGCAUGUGACUUCUAAUAAGCAACCAGGUAAGCAAGUAGGUGCCUGUCAUGUGACCUAAUUACUGAGAAAGCAAAUAGGCUAGAAGGUGCAAGGCAUGUGACUGUUCAGAAAUAAUUUUAAGAGUUUUGUCGAUAUUUUUCGGACUGUUUCGACUAAAUAUUUUUCAUCAUUCGAAUCUCGUGCGGCUCUGAAUAAACUCGCCUAGCAUGAAUAAAAAUCGACAAUAAUAAUUAACACUCGACCAGAAUCAUCAAGAGAUGGUUUUUCGACCAAAAGACAGCCCGCCGAGAGGUUAAUUCACUGUGUCGAUUUUUAUUUAAAUUCUGAUCGAUGAAUCUUCAAACUGAUCUUAAAGAAUUUUCUCUACCAAAAUUCUAUCUGCUCGUGAGGGUUAUUACACCAGCGGCCCUUGAAAAUUCGGAGGACCGAGUGCCGCUCAUGCCCGGUCGUACUCAUAACCGCAUCAGGUCUCCAAGGUGAACAGGCUAUGGUCGAUGGAACAAUGUAGGCAAGGAAGUCGGCAAAAUGGAUCCGUAACUUUGGGAAAAGGAUUGGCUAUGAGGGCUGGGCUCGAGGGUCCCAGUUCCGUACCCGUCGACUGUUGGCGGGCUGCUUGAGCUGCGGACGUGGCGAUAGUGGACCGCCUCGUGUCGGCCGGGGGACGGACUGGGAACGGCUCUUUUGGGAUCUUUCCCCGGGCGUCGAACAGCCAACUUAGAACUGGUACGGACAAGGGGAAUCUGACCGUUUAAUUAAAACUAAGCAUUGCGAUGGUCCUUGCGGAUGCUAACGCAAUGUGAUUUCUGCCCAGUGCUCUGAAUGUCAAAGUGAAGAAAUUCAACCAAGCGCGGGUAAAUGGCGGGAGUAACUAUGACUCUCUUAAGGUAGCCAAAUGCCUCGUCAUCUAAUUUGUGACGCGCAUGAAUGGAUUAACGAGAUUCCCACUGUCCCUGUAUACUAUCUAGGGAAACCACAGUGAAGGGAACGGGCUUGGCAGAAUCAGCGGGGAAAGAAGACCCUGUUGAGUUUGACUCUAGUCCGACUUUGUGAAAUGACUUGAGAGGUGUAGAAUAAGUGGGAGCUCCGGCGUAAGUGAAAUACCACUACUUUUAACGUUAUCUUACUUACUCCGUGAUCCGGAGGCGGGGUAAGAACCCCUUCUUUUAGACCCAAGACUCGCUUCGGUGGGUCAAUCCGGGCGGAGGAAAUUGUCAGGUGGGGAGUUUGGCUGGGGCGGCACAUCUGUUAAAAGAUGAGCUCAACGAGAACAGAAUUCUCGUGUGGAACAAAAGGGUAAAAGCUCAUAUGAUUCUGAUUUUUCACCAAGUGUUGGAUUGUUCACCCACCAAUAGGGAACGUGAGCUGGGUUUAGACCGACAGAUUAGUUUUACCCUACUAAUGCCCGCGUCGCUAUAGUAAUUCAACCUAGUACGAGAGGAACCGUUGAUUCGCACAAUUGGUCAUCGGGCUUGGUUGAAAAGCUAGUGGCGUGAAGCUACCCUGCGCUGGAUUAUGACUGAACGCCUCUAAGUCUGAAUCUGGGCUAGAAGCGACGCAUGCGCCCGCUGCCCGAUUGCCAACCCUUAGUAGGAGCUUCGGCUCCCAAAGGCACAUGUCGUUGGCUAAGUCCGUUCGACGGAAGCGCCGUUCGGACCGCCUUGAAAUACAAUGACCACCGAGCGGCGGGUAGAAUCCUUUGCAGACGACUUAAAUACGCGACGGGGUAUUGUAAGUGGCAGAUUGGCCUUGCUGCCAUGAUCCACUGAGAUUCAUCCCUUUGUCACUAAUAUUCGACCCUCCCCCUU